GACGAACGCUGGCGGCGUGCUUAACACAUGCAAGUCGAACGGAAAGGCCCUGCUUUUGUGGGGUGCUCGAGUGGCUACCGGGUGAGAAACACGUGAGUAACCUGCCCUUGACUUUGGGAUAACUUCAGGUAACUGGGGCGAAUACCGGAUAGGAGCUCCUGCUGCAUGGUGGGGGUUGGAAAGUUUCGGCGGUUGGGGAUGGACUCGCGGCUUAUCAGCUUGUUGGUGGGGUAGUGGCUUACCAAGGCUUUGACGGGUAGCCGGCCUGAGAGGGUCACCGGCCACAUUGGGACUGAGAUACGGCCCAGACUACUACGGGAGGCAGCAGUGGAGAAUAUUGCACAAUGGGCGGAAGCCUGAUGCAGCAACGCCGCGUGCGGGAUGACGGCCUUCGGGUUGUAAACCGCUUUCGCCUGUGACGAAGCGUGAGUGACGGUAAUGGGUAAAGAAGCACCGGCUAACUACGUG
Molecule: ribosomal RNA, 468 nt
Filed under: uncultured bacterium
Lineage: Bacteria
Description: partial 16S ribosomal RNA
Rfam family: Bacterial small subunit ribosomal RNA
Source: RNAcentral